This 683-nucleotide ribosomal RNA is filed under the name uncultured bacterium. RNAcentral's name for it is "bacterial SSU rRNA". It matches the Rfam family "Bacterial small subunit ribosomal RNA", at positions 9 to 690 of the family's 1533-position model. The record is from RNAcentral.
GAGUUUGAUCCUGGCUCAGGACGAACGCUGGCGGCGUGCUUAACACAUGCAAGUCGAACGGAGCACCCCUGAAGGAGUUUUCGGACAACGGAUGGGAAUGCUUAGUGGCGGACUGGUGAGUAACGCGUGAGGAACCUGCCUUCCAGAGGGGGACAACAGUUGGAAACGACUGCUAAUACCGCAUGACGCAUCGAAGUCGCAUGGCUUUGAUGUCAAAGAUUUAUCGCUGGAGGAUGGCCUCGCGUCUGAUUAGCUAGUUGGUGAGGUAACGGCCCACCAAGGCGACGAUCAGUAGCCGGACUGAGAGGUUGGCCGGCCACAUUGGGACUGAGAUACGGCCCAGACUCCUACGGGAGGCAGCAGUGGGGAAUAUUGGGCAAUGGACGCAAGUCUGACCCAGCAACGCCGCGUGAAGGAAGAAGGCUUUCGGGUUGUAAACUUCUUUUAAGGGGGAAGAGCGGAAGACGGUACCCCUUGAAUAAGCCACGGCUAACUACGUGCCAGCAGCCGCGGUAAUACGUAGGGAGCGGGCGUUGUCCGGAAUUACUGGGUGUAAAGGGAGCGUAGGCGGGACGGCAAGUCAGAUGUGAAAACUGAGGGCUCAACCUUCAGACUGCAUUUGAAACUGCUGUUCUUGAGUGAAGUAGAGGUAAGCGGAAUUCCUAGUGUAGCGGUGAAAUGCG